CAUGAAUCCAAACCGUGCCUUCAGUGUGUGUGUGUGUCAUUGUGAAGGGCGGGGUUGGCAUCUGAAACGUGCUGCUCCUACACGCCACUCAUCGGGUCCACUUAACUCCCAAGUAGGAACGAGAGUGGCUGAGUGGCGCGGAUGGAGAAGGGAAAAGCAAUAAAAGGAUUCAAGUUUUGUCAUUGACAGUAAACUGAUUAAAGCAGCGUGUGGAGUAGAGGGCCACGACACGCGACGAGACGGGAUCUGGAAGAGCACACAUCAACAUACAUCUUGCCCUCCCAGUCAUUCCGCCGGCAGAUCUCCUUCAGCAUCUAGCACCCCUCUCUCUCUGUCUCUCAAGGGAGUGACACCAUCAAAGUUAAUCUUCUGAAUGGUGAUGAGAGUACGACACUUGAUACUUUAUUUAAGAAACGCUGUAACAUGAUUUCAAUGAGCAAAAGGAACACAAUAACACUGGAAGGUCUUAGCUACUCAGUCACUCCUGCCAUCAGUAUUAUCCUUAAAAACUAUGCUCGACAUUUGCAACAGAGUAUUCUAUUUAGCUUGAGGGAAACCAGUAGCAAGUGGAACGAUUAAUAAUGAAGUUUCUAAACCAUCACGACAACAAGACGUGAACACCACCACCAGUACCACCGCCACCACCAGUGCUGCCAGUAACACGCAGAUGGAAAAUUGAGACAAAACGUGCAGAGGAAAACUGAUCACCGGAGAGCAAUAUUUUUUUUCGGGCCGAUAAUGGGAGGCAGUUGUGCGUCGCCGAGGGAGGGAGUGUAUUGAGCGCAAUCCAUUCAGGCGGGCACGGGACGAGGCCUAAAUGAAAUAUCUCCUACUUCUUUUACUCUUCGUCCUUCGCCCUCGUCGUUGCUGGUGCUUUCCCUCCUCCAACCUCGUCCUUUUUCUCCGUUUUCUGAUUUUCGUCACAGAUUAUUUUCGUCGUCGUUGUCGUUGUUGUUUUUUCCCUUCCAACCUCGUCCUCUUUCUCCGUUUUCUGAUUUUCGUCACAGAUUAUUUUUGUCGUCGUUGUUUUUUCCCUUCCAACCUCGUCCUCUUUCUCCGUUUUCUGAUUUUCGUCUCAUAGAUUAUUUUCUCCUUGCUUUCGUUGUCGUCGUCAUCCUCCUCCUCCUCCUCCUCCUCCUCCUCCUCCUCCUCUUCCUCCUCCUCCUCCUCCUCCUCCUCCUCCUCUUCCUCCUCCUACUCCUUCAUACGUGUUUACUUCUUCCCCAAGGAAUCAUUAUUUAUCAGCAGUUCCUUCCCUCCACAUUCUAACAGUACCUUUCCUUCCUCCUUUCUUCCGUCCUUCUCCACUUUUGCCGCCUGCUUCCCUCCUUCCUUCCUCCAUCUUUCCUCCUUCCCUUUUUUUCAUUUAUUUAUUUUUUUUUUUUUCCAUUUGAAGUGUAAUGGGAUUGGCAACUCGUCAAUUUUUCUUUUUCCUUUUCUCUCUUCUUUGACUCUUUUCCUUCCUCUCUACGCUGCCUUCCACUUCUUUACCUCUGUGGGACCUUGAUGCCUUUCUUAAUGGCUUCUGAGUAGAGGAGGAGGAGGAGGAGGACGAGGACGAAGAGGAAAAGAGGAGGAAGAGGAAAUGUGUCAGAUCCAGAGUCACCAUGUUGCUCUCUCUCUCUCUCUCUCUCUCUCUCUCUCUCUCUCUCUCUCUCUCUCUCUCUCUCUCUCUCUCUCUCUCUCUCUCUGAUUCCUUCCCCAUCUCGAAUGCAUUGAUUUCUCUAUUUAUUUUGCUCCAAUCUCCAUGACGUUUAGUUCCAGAAGAGAAAUCACUUGAGAGGAAUAAAAGCCAAGAGGAAGGAGAGGUUAAAGCUUUUCGUCCCUUCUCUUUCUCCUCUUCCUCUUCUUCUCUAUCUCUUACUCUUCCUCCUCAUCUUUCUUUCGUUGUGGAGGCAAGAUUUUAAUUAUUCAAUCCAUUUUUCCCCUUUUUCCUCUUUCCAUGUUAUCAUCUUCGACAUUCCCUCCUCUUCCUCGUUUUCUUUCUCCUAUCAGUGUGAUUCAUUUUCCUAUUUUCCUUCUCUACUCAUCAUCGUGAAAGAAAACGAACUUAGCUUUCGUUUUCUUUUUGCUUAUAUAUUUCCCAUUUUCCUCUCCUCUUCUCGUUACUUGUACCUACUCCUCUUAGUCCUAUUCUUCCGUUCUUUGUAUUCCUCUUCCUCCUCCUCGUACUCCCAUUCUUCCUGUCAUUUCAAUCACUCGUACCCAUUUCUCUCUCCCUUCCUUCCUUCCUCUCUGGCGUAAAAGAAAACAAAGAUUCCUGGAUAUUUUUCAAGGGUGACUUUCCUAAAUAAUCGGAGUGGAAUGGGACGUCCCAAAACCCGAGUCCACUGUCAUUGAAUAAAUCUAUUCCACGGAACACUCACAGUCUCUCCUCCUCCUCCCCAUCUCCAUAUCGCUCCUCCUCUUGUCUUUCCUUCUCCCUUUCCCUAACCUCUCAGUUUUUCCUUCUUCCUUUUUGCUCUUCUCUCCUUCCUAAUUAGUUAUCUUUCUUUUCCUCCAUUCCCUUUAAAUUUGUUGUUUAGGAGAGA
Long non-coding RNA from Scylla paramamosain (green mud crab), 2531 nucleotides. RefSeq lists it as uncharacterized. The transcript is spliced from 4 exons. Lineage: Eukaryota; Metazoa; Arthropoda; Malacostraca; Decapoda; Portunidae. The record is from RefSeq and is a predicted model, not a curated record.